Long non-coding RNA from Passer domesticus (house sparrow), 1940 nucleotides. RefSeq lists it as uncharacterized. The record is from RefSeq and is a predicted model, not a curated record. The transcript has 2 exons. NCBI's taxonomy places the organism in Eukaryota, Metazoa, Chordata, Aves, Passeriformes, Passeridae.
AGGCUGUGCUCCUGAGACACUUACAGGACCACAGCCACUCCUGCAGGGCCAGGCUGGGAGAGACAAGUCUUCUCACAAGAUCGCUUCCCACACUGCGAGCCUGCCUGCUUACACUUGUGUAGGCAUCGUGGAGAGAGAGAUCCUGCAAACGCCAAGCUGCCUAAUCCCCUGGGAGGUUUAAAAUGUGAGCUGCAGUUUUCUCACUCUCCGUGGGCACUGGAGUCAGUCGUGCAACGUAUGGCAAUAGCUGUAUUCUCAUUUCACGUCUGUCAUGCAGAGAUAAUUAAAAUCUACACUUCCAUCUGAGGGGAACCGUAGGGUUUCCAGAUGGGUAACUGUAGUGCAUAUUUCAUACUGGAUUAUCACUUGCACCAAAAAGCCUUGCCUGUUGCCUUCCCACCUGUUGAGAUUAUUGAUGGGGCUGCCAUUGAAAAGCCCUCGUGGGCCCAGUGACAGGGGUCUGUGCAGCUCAUACAAGCCAACCUAACACCGCACAUCUCUGCUCAAUGUGGGGCUGACAUUGUGACACCCUUCCCAGAUGUCCACUCUUGGACAGCCCCUCCUGGCUCUCACAGCAGAAAGGAGCCACAGUGCACUGGCCUAACAUAAAAUACUGGCUGUGUUGGCCUGCAGCAUUAGCAAUGGUUAUAGUAUUGCAAAGGAGGGACAGCCAGCUCCACAAGGCUGCCAGUCGAGAGCUGCUUCAGUGUACUGAGCUGACCACCCACUUGGUGACAUUCCUGCAGAAAGGAAGGAUUGGGCAUCACUGUGCUGGAUGGAGCUUCUCAGUUUCAGAGAGAGCAGAGGCACAAUGCACGAAGCUGUGACACAACUGCUGCCAGAAAGCCACCUAGAAGGAAAAGCCUGACCCAUGAGAGGUUCUCAUGUACUGGCAGGGGUAGAACUGCCAGAAAAGUAACCCUGCCCAAAAGCUGCAUGGUCCUGCUGCACAGCUGGGGUCCAGAAAGCCCUGGUGGGGCUGGGAGUGCAGCGGGCCCACGCUCACUUCUGCAGACAAACAUGCCAGCCUCAGGCAGACAAAGGCUUUGAUAGUUUGCUGUUACUCAUGCAAAACACCACUGGCAUAUGCUCUUAAAUGCACUUCCCCAUUUGGUUUGGAGCUUCAAAAACCGCUAGGCUGACAUCAACAAUGAAAAAAAUUUAAUUCCACCCCCUCCCCUUUCUGAAUUUAGAAUGAUAAAGGACCAACAGUUAUGUCUGGAGCAGGGAAGCAGAUAUUACACACAUCUUGCUUACAAAAUAGCUCUGGUUUUCAUGAAACAAGUUUAUUUUCCUCCCCCAGCCAUUGAUGAGCACAUGACAACCGUAUAGAAUAAAAGCUCAACUCCUUAGUUCUGCUCACAUUCACUCAACAUUUGCUCUAAUCAAUUAUCUUAUUUCAUGCAGUAAGAAAAGAAUGAGAUUCCUGUUAUGCAGCCAUAAUCAGUUACAGUAUGAAGCUGUGUCUGUGGAACAUUUCUGAUUUUGAAAACUAAUCAUGUGCUCUGCCAUUACAUUUCUCUUGUAAAACACUGGGCUUUGACCCAACUUGUUUCUUCCCGCCUGCCCUUUGAAAACAUUGAGGGCACAGCCUGGUCUGAGAUCCCACAUUCCUUCCCUGCAGAAGCCAGCCAGAUUGCACUGCAAAGAACACAUUUGCUCAGGGAGACAGGAUCUGUUUUUCUGGUUUAUUGGAACAUAAAAGCACAAGCGGAUGUCCCCUGGGAGGCAGACAGGAGAGGAGAGGGUGCUGCAUGUGACAGCGGACGGCUGUCGGAGAGAAAAGUCACGUCUUCACACAAAGGGCUCAAUAUUGAUCUCUAGGACAGAGCAAGGCAUGGUGAGCUCAAACUUGGUGAUAACAUCAGGGUGUACGACUCCAAGCUUCCCAAUGCUCUGACCUUUGGCAAAGACCUCAGCACAGCGACCAGGAAAGAAAG